Salvelinus fontinalis (brook trout) is the source of this 9229-nucleotide long non-coding RNA. RefSeq lists it as uncharacterized. The record is from RefSeq and is a predicted model, not a curated record. The transcript has 4 exons. NCBI's taxonomy places the organism in Eukaryota, Metazoa, Chordata, Actinopteri, Salmoniformes, Salmonidae.
UUACACAGGCACCUAACUGCAUAACAUGGUCUCAGAAGAUAAACAACUUAAAUGAAUAACCAAUAAUUCUACCUUUCGGCUGUAUUAGGCAGUUAAGUAAUUUAGUUCUGGAAGACAUAUUGCUUUAUGUAAUGGUGUUAAGGUGGCUCAGUGUUUAAAAAAUGCUUAGGUUGUUGUUAGUGCAUUAUGUGCCAUGUGUACUGGUCAGUAUUAGUGCUCCCUGUUCAGGAUUGUAGCUCGCUUCUUCUCUCACUGUGCAAUGUAAUCACUCUCUACAGAAUGACUCUCCAUUUCCCCGACCUCUGCUAUCAGCCCAGUGUGGGUACAUACACUGCACUGAUUCCAGGGUGUUUGUGUGUGUCUGUAUGUGUGUUCAGGGGAACAGUGAUAAGUGGUGGGAGUAAGUCACCCAUCUGUGUGAGGUAGUGGUGUGGGACACAGUGAACAGUAAGCUGAAGUCCUGCUGGAUCACCAGUCUGAUGCCAAAUAGAGGGCUCACACAUAGGAAGAGAUGAUGUUGUUAUCAGUCGAGCCCAGGUAUAAGGGACCAGCGAGAGAGAGAUACAUAGAUAUAUGAUUGUUUAAAAUGUUCUGGUUUUCUAAAGCAUUUGGAAGCAAUUGUGUUUUUGUGAUGACUAACAAGGAAGGAGCUGUGUGAGGAGAUGUUGGGAAAAUGAGAACGGUCACAUUUGACAUCAUUCUGACCUUAUUUAUGACUUGACCUAUGGAACACUGGACUGGUUCUAGUCUUAGAGACCCUCACAUCAACGAUCAUUCCUGUUUAGACUUCACAGAGAGAUGAAAAGACUGUUGCAAGUGAUCUGGUUUGAAAAUUAGCUUGAGGCUAUGAGUUCCAGUAAGUAGAGCACGUCUUGCUCCAAUAUGACUAAAAUACUGUUUCCACUGUCUGUCUGUAUGUUUGUCUGUCAGGGGAGGGCUAUGCUUGUUGAUCCAGAGAGGUGGGCAUGUUCCUUGGUGGGUAAGGCAAAUCGCUUGACUUUGGUAUGAGAGUAGCAUUCCUGAUUCCUGUUCAACUGAGAGACAGGCAUGAGGAGGGAGGGAGAUAGAGAGAGAGAUAGUUUCCCUCAGAUUACACAGACCCACAAAGAAUUCAAAAAUAAAUCAAAUUUUGAUAAACUCCCAUAUCUAUUGGGUGAAAUACCACAGUGUGCAACAGAGCAGCAAGAUUUAUGACCUGUUGCCACGAGAAAAGGGCGACCAGUGAAGAACAAACACCAUUGUAAAUACAACUUAUAGUUAGUUAUGUUUAUUUAUUUUCCCUUUUGUACUUUAUCUAUUUGCACAUCAUUACAACACUGUAUAUAUACAUAAUAUGACAUUUGACAUGUCUUUAUCUUUUUGGAACUUUUGUAAAUGUAAUAUUUACUGUAAAUAUUUUAUUGUUUAUUUCACUUUUGUUUAUUAUCUAUUUCACUUGCUUUGGCAGUGUAAACAUAUGUUUCCCAUGCCAAUAGAGCCCAUAAACUGAAUUGAAUUGAAUUGUUAGAAAGAGAGAGAGAGAUGGAGGGGAAGCCAGGGAUUAGAAAGGAAGUAAUGUUCAUUUAAAAGUGUGCUUCUCAGUUCUGGGCAUGCUCAGUGGGGCUUGGCUCUGCUCUACCAGCUCCAGCCUCUACAUUUGAACAGGAGGGAGGUGAGGUGACUGUGUCCGAGCAGACUUUAGUGCCACACACUCUCUGUCUCUGUCAGGCUCUCUCGCUGCACAGCUCUCUCUUUUUGUGUUCUUUGACCCUUUUUUUUGGUGUUCAGAGACGGCUGAGGGAGGAAGACAGCUUCAACUAGACAAAACAACUGAAAGAAGAAAGAAAAUGAAGAGAAGGAAAAUGAACUGACUUUGCCUCAGAAACAGUGGAUCUGGAGGGACUAACUUCAAAAGAAAGGCAAGAGGGAGCUGGUGUGAAAUACGAGCAGGAAGGAGAGAUGAGAAACAUGAGGUCUUCUGUUAAGGAACCAGAGACAGUAUCCACAGAAGCCAUGAGCGGAAGAGAGCAGCCUCACAAGAUCAUUAGCACCACUUCUGGACUAUGUUGUACUCUAGAGGCUGUGGACUGAGCAGAGACUGAGAGAGAGACGAGUGGAGGCCGUGGCUGUCAGGUGCAUGAUGGGAAGUGGGCUGGCAGGGGACAGCAGUGUGGUGGAGGACCAGAAUCAAUUGGCAGUGUAAUGAGAUGGCGAUGCGCCAGGUUGCCAUGGAGCUCACUUGGGCUGUCCUUCACUGGAGGAUUUGUAAAUGAGAGAGAGAGAGAGAGAGAGAGAAAGGCCGAGAGAGCGGUAAAGGGAAGAAGAAAGGCCGAGAGAGAGGUAAAGAGAUGAAGAAAGGCAGAGAGAAAAAGAGAGGAGGACUGAGAUAGUGGGAAACGGGCUGUGUAUAGUGAAAUUAAAGCCUGUUCGGGGUUGAGAGGGUUGUUAUGCAGGAGAGAUGAAGAAUGAGUUAAAGAGAAAUAAAAAUACUACAGUAAGAAUCUGUGUGUGUUCUGAUGCUCUUAUCCCAACGGCUUGAACUGUUUGCCCUUGAAUUGCUUUUGGGCAUACUGAAUUUGUAUUUUUAUACCUAAUCUGAUGUUCAGAAAGAAAAGAAAGGAACCUACCUUGUCUGCCAGUAUUGAUUUCUUUCCCCUGUUCCUUCUCUCUUGCCAAAAGCAUAGCUGCUUUCUCUUCCAACGGAAUGGAAUUAGUCUGUUUGAUUUCAAUGUAAAUGCACACAUCGCUUCAUCAUGUUGACGUGUCAAUCAGCGGCUGCUAUGCAAUAUGUGAGAGAGCAGUUUGUGUCACAACAUUGUCACUACCACAACAAAAUAGAACUUUGUUUUGGUAUUGACAGUUUCGGGUGUGACAAUUAAUACCUCUUUUCCAAUUUUCCAAAUAACUGUUGCUAAUACAUUAUAUGGUCGACACUAUUUGUGACAGCUGAUGACAACUGCCAUGUAUAAAUGGAAUUUGUUAUCCGCUUAUGCUCACUGUCUUCGAACACUUAUUUUAGCCCUUGACUUUAAUAGUCUGUUGGCCACUGCAUUGGCAGGAUAUAUUUUUGUUGUGUUUCUGCACACACACACACACACACACACACACACACACACACACACACACACACACACACACACACCUAAAGCUCAUUACAGUUGCCCUCUGCUACUGUACCUGUCAAUCCAUAUUGGGCCAUAACACUUCCUGGUGUUAUCAAGCACCACUUCUGUGAUUGUACAGAACUGAUACUUUACAUUACUCUCAUUGAUGCUCUGUCUCCUCCUCCCCCUCCCUUCCACCUCCUCCUCCUCUUCCUCCUAGAUAUAGGUCAUAGCAGCUAGCUAAUAUGGCCGACAACAUUUGUUGCCAGUGAGUGUUUUUUUCGCUCUCUCCUGACUAGCAACUACAGCUAAUGCCGGGCUUGCUAAGUAGAGAGGGAGGGCUGUGAAAGGACAGACUGUCGGCGGUGGCAGUCGCCCGCAACACCAGCUGUGCCCUCUCCCACUGGGCACUGACGCUCAUUUGGGCCAGGUCAUCUAGGGACACAGAGAGAGAGAGAGGUAAAGAGACACAGAUGGAGGGAGCAGAGAGGGAAAGCUGACUGACUGACUCCCUGUAGAAAAGGCAGGGGCGGGAAGGGAGGUUAGCAUCCUGGUUCUGAAUCUGUGGGUUUGGAUGUGCGUCUGCCUCUGGCCUGUGUGCCACAGGGCUGGACAGACAGACAGCCAGGCAAUGGCGAUAGAACAGAUCUAACAGUCACUGGAGAACAAAAGCACACUUCAUCCCUCUGCAUCCUUCCAUACAUUGGCUCAUAUGGCCUUCUCCAGCUUGGCUGGGGUCCGAUCAUCCUCUUAGUGGUGUCCUGUCUCCAUUCCAGACGGACACAUUCCUCAGACGUUGAUGACGAUCCCAGAUAACAAUCAUAAACUCAUGAGGAGAAUUUUAGACUAUACUAAUCAAUGCCAACUCAUGCUAAUUGACAUCCCUGGGGUGAGCGAUUGUGGCUUGGAAAACUUUUGGCGCUGCUGUGUGGAUUAAUGCAAGGCAUUGGUGGAGGGCUGCCGCAGUAGUGCGUGAGUGGAAUAUCAGAGAGAGCGAGAGGGGCAGAAGAGGGAGAGGGCGGACAUUUGGAAGGGGUGGGACACAGUGUCUUACUGUAAUUGAACAUGAAGACAAUCACUCAUAGGCUGCAUGCACUCAUCGCUUAUUUAUUUUAAUGCACAUGUAACACCAUUUCCCCUCCACCCUUCAUUAGAAUUGAGCAUGCAGAACACUGUGAAUGCUGGUUGCUGGUUCACGUUUAUUUCUAAUGGGUAUUCUUCAGUGUGUUCUGUUGUUGUCAUAGAAUUAGGAAUGAGUCAUUUAAUAGGACCUCUUUGGUUGUUGUGCUCCAUUUGCUGGCUGUGUGUGAAUCCCCUCAAGUAAACACUGUGCCGGCUAGCUGUCUGUUUGUCUGUCUGGCAGCCUGGGGUAUGCCCAUGUCAGGGUGUCAGCGUCAGGUUAUUGAAGGGGAAGCGGAGGCUAGGAUUCAGAGAAGUCGGUAACACUUUACUUAACGCCUAUAUGCAGUAUGAUAUGGUCGUAAUGGUUGUGAUACAUUAUAAGACUUGUCCUAAGCAUUCAUAACCCCCUUAUAGUGUCUUAUAAUCAUCUGAUAAUGAUCCUGACUAAAUACCAGCCAUUGUAGAAAUACAUUGAUACAUAGAAAGACAUUAUAUGCCUUGAUAUAACACAUGUUAAAGGCUCAUACAUGCUAAUAACAAGUUAAUAAGCAUUUGUGUGUGUGUGUGUGUGUGUGUGUGUGUGUGUGUGUGUGUGUGUGUGUGUGUGUGUGUGUGUGUGUGUGUGUGUGUGUGUGUGUGUGUGUGUGUGUGUGUGUGUGUGUUGUCUGAACACUGAUAGUGAUAGCCCACACUCGAUAACAGUGCAAGGCAACUAAUACUUUAUGCCAUCAUUGUUUUUUCCUGACGGCUUAUUUUGGGUUUGUCGCUCGUGAUUUAUAUGUGUGUGCAUUGCUCAGUGCUAUAUUUAUUUAUUCACCUCAGAUCGUUAGAUGUGCUACAACAUGGAUGUAAUCCAGUGAUAUACUGUACAGCACAGUGACACAUGCACUAUAACCUGAACCAUACUGUAUGGGAGCUCAAAUGGAGAAAGUGGAUUCCUUUUUCAUUGAAAUAGAUAUCGGCAGUGUGUGUUUAGUUUAGUUCAGAAUAGCAGGAGGACACAUGGGUUAGCAGUAGUAGUGACAUUGUAUCUGGAGCUACUUCCAGACUGUGGGGGGAACGCUUUGCAUCUAUGUGAAGGGAUCUGCUACAGUAAUGAUAGCCAAGCUGCCAAAAGGACUUCUUCUUUUCUAUCAGUCUGGGGCCAAAGCGAACUGCAGAUUGGGUAUUUAUUUUUGGUGCAGGGAAGUCUUCCAAGAGUGUGUGUGUGUGUGUGUGUGUGCGCAUGUGUGUAUGUGUGCGCAUGUGUCUGCCCAUGUGGUUGUGUGCGUGUCUAUGCUUGUGUGUGUGUUUGUUGGGAGGUGUGGGGGAACGGCAGAGGUGUGUGUGUGUUGGGGGGAGGACUGUGGUGUACCUGGGCUCUCUCUCUCUCUCGAGAUGGGAAAGAGAAGCUUUAGCGGAAGGGGAGAGGUUAAAGAGGUGAAGGGGCUGGGGCACAACUCCAUUUUCCCUUUCGACGAAUUUCCACAGUCUCUUCUUUCUUUCGCUUUUAUUCAACAGAGUGAGGCAGUGAAAGAGAGCAAUAGAGAGAGAGAGAGAGAGAGAGAGAGAGCGAGAACGAGAGAGAUGGAGAGAGUGAAAGAGAGAAUCAAGACCAUUUUUUUAAGAGUCGAUCUUGGCUUUCUUACAAACAGAUGUUGCCUGUCAUUUGGCCGUUAAGCAGGCACUCGGUUAGUAGAACACAGAGGUUUUACUGGCUGAAAAUAUUCGUUCUUUCUUAUUUAUCGUUUCAUUAUCAUGAUGAAAAUCGAACUCUUAUAAACAGGGAAAUCUAUCUUUGUUAUUUCGUUUUUUGUCUUUUAGUUCUCUCUCAGCCAGCUUUCCUUUCCUUCCUCUUCCUUCCUCUCUCUGCCUAUUUUUCUUUGUCUCACUUUUUCUCUCUUUUCUAUUGCCUUUUUGAUGGGUUCGUUAGUUGCAUGUUUGUGUUUUGUUUCCUUGUGGGUCACAGUGGACCUUCUGCCAAGUGCUGUAGGCGCCCUGAGUAGAGAGAGAAAACAUUUGGAAACAAUAAAAAGACAAUCGGUAAGUCAUUAUUAACAUGCUUUCAAGCUCGCUGGUGCUUCUUCCUCGUCUUCCAGCUUUCUCUCUCUCUCUCUCACUCUCAUAUAGUUUCUCCAACCUCACUGUUUCAACCGUAGCUAUAACUUUAUUUUUUUGUGGUGUUUCCACUUUUCAGUGUAGCGAUAGGGCCUACCUGUUCCUGGCUGUACGUUUUGUUUGCAUUUCUAGGCAUUUCGAUGACGUGUCCCAUACCUACCUCUUUUUUAAUCUCCCUGCGUUUCAGAUUGUCUUAGUGUUGUUGUGUUUGCUUGCUGUCGAGCGAUGGUGGUGGUGGCUGUAGCGAUCCCAGGGUCUGUGCUCUGUGCUCUGUUCUGUCUCUCUGAGAGUGUGUUCACGGUAGCGCCCUGGUGCAUUUAACCUCUCCACCCCCAUGCAGGGGCGAGGGGCUCUGCUCCACUGGGUCUGAUACUAGGGCUUCUAGGGUGUGGUUGGCCCCCGCUGCCCCUUUUGUCCCACUAUUCUCAAGGUGUCUUUUAACUUCUUGGCACAGCCCCACUAACACAGUUUGAACAACUUGGCAGCAGCUUCAAAGUCAAAUCUGUUGAUUUCAACUCAAGUGGAGGGAAACAAGAAAGAAACCAACUUUGGGCUCUGAAAGUUCAAAUUGACUUCUUCUUUUAGGCCACUUGUCACUUCACAGUAACACAUACAAUUAUCUGCUAAAAUAUCUAUCUUACAUCAUCUUAUUGAUCAAAAUGAGGUUUCCCAUAUGGUAUUUUUAUCUAUGAAGAAGUGGAUGGAUUAUCUUAACAAUUUCAGAACGGUAGAAAACCAAUGCAUGACGUGAAGCAUGCAAUUCCAUUUCGAUACAUUGAAGUCUAUUCAAUUCACGUUGCACCUCGAAGAAUUUCUCUUUUGAUUUGUUAACUAUAUACAAGCAAUGAUUCCACUAUAUUUCUUCAAUGUGAUUUGUGUAGGUGGUAGAAAAAUGGGUCAACACACUGAUACACCUGGAGUGAGGCAUUUAAUCUUAAGCUUUGUAGUGUUCGUGUGAUUCAAUGAAUAACUGUUUCCUGGGGAUGUGCUCUCACUGCUUUGAGCAGGCCGGUAAAAUAAACAGCAGACUGGUUUGUGGGACUCAAAGUCUAAAGAACAAGUAAUGAAAUAUCCUAAAUAUGGAUAUUGGAGAUGACUGCAGUUAGCCCUCUUUGAAAUAUAAUGUCAUUUAUACACAAACAGCAGUACCUCUUUAAAGGAGUUUUUCGAUCGCAGCAAUACUAUUUUGUCUUCCUCCACUUAGUUCAGUUAACAACAAUACAUUUUAGAAAGGCAAUGUUAAUUAUCCCCAAAUGACAGAAAUGAUUAUGAAACACAAUCAUCAAAGACACCUUGUUCACAAUCACAACGACUCGUCAAGAUAAACUUCAAAUUCAAUCAAAUUAAUUCAAUCAAAUUCAAAUCAAAUGAGUUGAUUUACUAAAUUCAUUCUCUGCCCAUGUAGGAUGUGGACAACUCAAAUCUGCAUAGUUUAUGGCUUAUAUUAGGUUGGGAGUGUCCAAUUUGAUCAGUUCCCUAAAAAGCUAUGUAUUUGUAGUAAAUCCUCACAAGAGAUGUGUUGCUCUGUUGUUUUACUGCUAUCAAUGCAAUUGAAUUGAGUUACUUUGAUUGCUAGGUUACACAUGAUUUUCUGUGAAGAUACUGUACUGAACAAGAGGCUUUUUGAGACUACAUCUAUGCCCAAGUACUUGUUUGAUCAAUUAGUCUGAUUUGUAGUUAUCUUAUGUAGACAUUUUCUUUAGGUUUUAGUGUUGUAUGAAAACAGACAAUUAGAAUCUAUCGCUAGAAAUAUGAACUAGUAACGGUCUUUAUUGCAAAGGAGGGUUGGAUUUUUGAGGUGUUGGACUUUUCCAAGUAGGUGAUACAACAUAGUUAGAAGCAAUGCUUGUAAGCCUUAGUGCUAUCUGGGAUCAGUCUUAGUGAUAACACUGAGCUGCGUGCUUGUAAUUUAAGAAGAAGAAGCCUGAAUGAUGUUUUACCGGAUUGGGUUAGAACGACGGUCACUUUUUUAAAUUUGCGUAAAGUAUCUAUUUCUGAAUUAGUGGUUUGGAGUGCUUUGAGAAUCUAUUCAUAGCAGAAAAGGGUACUUUUGAACAUACAUUUUUUGGAGGUGAAACUCCAUUCAAAUAUCACACAUCCUCUCACACAUCCUCUCAAGGUUUUAUUAUGAUUUACUCCAUUUUCAGUUCGGCACUCAAUGUGUAAGCCCAGAGUGACACUUGAGCAAUAAGCAAGUCAUUCCUUUAGAACUGCAAUGUAUUUUCACUAUCUAUGUACCUAGUAUGAAAACCUCAGUUUAAGCAAAUGUGUUUAAAAGUAAUCAUUGACCAAUAGAUAUUGAGUACUGUAAUUGUUUACUUAGGAUCAAAUUCGGAUCAAAUAGGAUUUUGUGUGAUUAGACUUUUCUAAGUAAUUAUUUUUCCAGGUGAUGUGGCAGCCUUACUGUAUCCUAAAACAUCUUCUACACUACAUAAUAAACUUGUCAUUGGAAACACUGAUAAUCCAUUUCAUAAUAUUGUCCUAAUAUUCUCUUAAACUUAAAGAGGAGACUAUAUUCACUGAAGUCACUAUUGUAACCUCAUUCAUAACAAUUACAAAUAUAAUUUAUUGUAAUUUCCAUGACACUGUUGCAAGAUUAUAUGUUAAAUAGUAGUUAAUAAAUGGGUAAUAAAUUUCGUCAUAUUUAUUAAAUUAAAUUUAAAAAUACUGGAUGAUAAAACAAUUUGCAUAUCACCUUUUGCCAUUGAUAAAGGUGUAGAUAAGCCUGCUAACUUGUAUUAUUAUUAUUAUUGCCCCAAGGUAUUUCCUCCUUGUAGAUACGAUUAGUCACCAUAUCAAGCUUAUCUGUGAGAAUAUUAUUUUGAUAAUAAGUGGUUUCAUUGUGUUAUUAGGUAUUGUAUACUCUUGACUCCUUACUGUAGAUUGACCCAACGUAUGGAUGGAAGAAACCUGCCCACAGCCACAAA